RNAcentral lists this ribosomal RNA (735 nucleotides) under uncultured bacterium. RNAcentral describes it as "bacterial SSU rRNA". It matches the Rfam family "Bacterial small subunit ribosomal RNA", at positions 795 to 1529 of the family's 1533-position model. The record is from RNAcentral.
UCACGCCGUAAACGAUGAAUACUAGGUGUCGGGGAACAAUAGUUCUUCGGUGCCGCAGCAAACGCAUUAAGUAUUCCACCUGGGGAGUACGUUCGCAAGAAUGAAACUCAAAGGAAUUGACGGGGACCCGCACAAGCGGUGGAGCAUGUGGUUUAAUUCGAUGCAACGCGAAGAACCUUACCUGCUCUUGACAUCCCACUGACCGGACAGUAAUGUGUCCUUUUCUUCGGAACAGUGGUGACAGGUGGUGCAUGGUUGUCGUCAGCUCGUGUCGUGAGAUGUUGGGUUAAGUCCCGCAACGAGCGCAACCCUUGUCUUUAGUAGCCAGCAGUUCGGCUGGGCACUCUAGAGAGACUGCCAGGGAUAACCUGGAGGAAGGCGGGGAUGACGUCAAAUCAUCAUGCCCCUUACGAGCAGGGCUACACACAUGCUACAAUGGCGUAAACAAAGGGAAGCGACCCCGCGAGGGUAAGCAAAUCUCAAAAAUAACGUCUCAGUUCGGAUUGUAGUCUGCAACUCGACUACAUGAAGCUGGAAUCGCUAGUAAUCGCGAAUCAGAAUGUCGCGGUGAAUACGUUCCCGGGUCUUGUACACACCGCCCGUCACACCAUGGGAGUCGGAUAUGCCCGAAGUCAGUGACCCAACCAUAUGGAGGGAGCUGCCGAAGGUGGAGCCGAUAACUGGGGUGAAGUCGUAACAAGGUAGCCGUAUCGGAAGGUGCGGUUGGAUCACCUC